RNAcentral lists this ribosomal RNA (465 nucleotides) under Pantoea agglomerans. RNAcentral describes it as "bacterial SSU rRNA". It matches the Rfam family "Bacterial small subunit ribosomal RNA", at positions 22 to 480 of the family's 1533-position model. The record is from RNAcentral. Lineage: Bacteria; Pseudomonadati; Pseudomonadota; Gammaproteobacteria; Enterobacterales; Erwiniaceae.
GCUCAGAUUGAACGCUGGCGGCAGGCCUAACACAUGCAAGUCGAACGGUAGCACAGAGAGCUUGCUCUCGGGUGACGAGUGGCGGACGGGUGAGUAAUGUCUGGGAAACUGCCUGAUGGAGGGGGAUAACUACUGGAAACGGUAGCUAAUACCGCAUAACGUCGCAAGACCAAAGAGGGGGACCUUCGGGCCUCUUGCCAUCAGAUGUGCCCAGAUGGGAUUAGCUAGUAGGUGGGGUAACGGCUCACCUAGGCGACGAUCCCUAGCUGGUCUGAGAGGAUGACCAGCCACACUGGAACUGAGACACGGUCCAGACUCCUACGGGAGGCAGCAGUGGGGAAUAUUGCACAAUGGGCGCAAGCCUGAUGCAGCCAUGCCGCGUGUAUGAAGAAGGCCUUCGGGUUGUAAAGUACUUUCAGCGGGGAGGAAGGUGUUGUGGUUAAUAACCGCAGCAAUGACGUACCC